Molecule: ribosomal RNA, 253 nt
Filed under: uncultured bacterium
Lineage: Bacteria
Description: partial 16S ribosomal RNA
Rfam family: Bacterial small subunit ribosomal RNA
Source: RNAcentral
UACGAAGGGGGCUAGCGUUGUUCGGAAUUACUGGGAGUAAAGCGCACGUAGGCGGAACUGUAAGUUGGGGGUGAAAUCCCGGAGCUCAACUCCGGAACUGCCUUCAAGACUGCAGAGCUGGAGGAUGCGAGAGGUGAGUGGAAUUCCGAGUGUAGAGGUGAAAUUCGUAGAUAUUCGGAAGAACACCAGUGGCGAAGGCGGCUCACUGGCGCAUUUCUGACGCUGAGGUGCGAAAGCGUGGGGAGCAAACAGG